This 253-nucleotide ribosomal RNA is filed under the name uncultured bacterium. RNAcentral's name for it is "partial 16S ribosomal RNA". It matches the Rfam family "Bacterial small subunit ribosomal RNA", at positions 524 to 776 of the family's 1533-position model. The record is from RNAcentral.
UACGGAAGGUCCGGGCGUUAUCCGGAUUUAUUGGGUUUAAAGGGAGCGCAGGCGGGCCUUUAAGUCAGCUGUGAAAUACGGCGGCUCAACCGUCGAACUGCAGUUGAUACUGGAGGUCUUGAGUGCACACAGGGAUGCUGGAAUUCAUGGUGUAGCGGUGAAAUGCUCAGAUAUCAUGAAGAACUCCGAUCGCGAAGGCAGGCAUCCGGGGUGCAACUGACGCUGAGGCUCGAAAGUGCGGGUAUCAAACAGG